Lampris incognitus (smalleye Pacific opah) is the source of this 127-nucleotide small nucleolar RNA. RefSeq annotates it as small nucleolar RNA ACA64. The transcript has a single exon. Lineage: Eukaryota; Metazoa; Chordata; Actinopteri; Lampriformes; Lampridae. The record is from RefSeq and is a predicted model, not a curated record.
CCUGCUUGAAAAUCAUCUCCGGUGCUUCCAUGAUCUGAGGUGAGAUACCUGGGCCUACAGGAAAGUGGCACGCUAUGCUUAUCACAUGCAGUUCUGACAAUGUGAUAAAACCCAUGUGUCCACAGUG